GACGAACGCUGGCGGCGUGCUUAACACAUGCAAGUCGAACGGAAAGGCCCUGCUUUUGUGGGGUGCUCGAGUGGCGAACGGGUGAGUAACACGUGAUUAACCUGCCCUUGACUUUGGGAUAACUUCAGGAAACUGGGGCUAAUACCGGAUAGGAGCUCCUGCUGCAUGGUGGGGGUUGGAAAGUUUCGGCGGUUGGGGAUGGACUCGCGGCGUAUCAGCUUGUUGGUGGGGUAGUGGCUUACCAAGGCUUUGACGGGUAGCCGGCCUGAGAGGGUGACCGGCCACAUUGGGACUGAGAUACGGCCCAGACUCCUACGGGAGGCAGCAGUGGGGAAUAUUGCACAAUGGGCGGAAGCCUGAUGCAGCAACGCCGCGUGCGGGAUGACGGCCUUCGGGUUGUAAACCGCUUUCGCCUGUGACGAAGCGUGAGUGACGGUAAUGGGUAAAGAAGCACCGGCUAACUACGUG
Molecule: ribosomal RNA, 468 nt
Filed under: uncultured bacterium
Lineage: Bacteria
Description: partial 16S ribosomal RNA
Rfam family: Bacterial small subunit ribosomal RNA
Source: RNAcentral